Molecule: ribosomal RNA, 545 nt
Filed under: uncultured bacterium
Lineage: Bacteria
Description: partial 16S ribosomal RNA
Rfam family: Bacterial small subunit ribosomal RNA
Source: RNAcentral
UGGGGAAUAUUGCACAAUGGGCGAAAGCCUGAUGCAGCAACGCCGCGUGAGUGAUGAAGGUCUUCGGGUUGUAAAGCUCUGUCUUUUGGGACGAUAAUGACGGUACCAAAGGAGGAAGCCACGGCUAACUACGUGCCAGCAGCCGCGGUAAUACGUAGGUGGCGAGCGUUGUCCGGAUUUACUGGGCGUAAAGGGUGCGUAGGCGGAUGUUUAAGUGAGAUGUGAAAUACCCGGGCUUAACUUGGGUGCUGCAUUUCAAACUGGAUAUCUAGAGUGCAGGAGAGGAGAAUGGAAUUCCUAGUGUAGCGGUGAAAUGCGUAGAGAUUAGGAAGAACACCAGUGGCGAAGGCGAUUCUCUGGACUGUAACUGACGCUGAGGCACGAAAGCGUGGGUAGCAAACAGGAUUAGAUACCCUGGUAGUCCACGCCGUAAACGAUGAGUACUAGGUGUAGGAGGUAUCGACCCCUUCUGUGCCGCAGUAAACACAUUAAGUACUCCGCCUGGGAAGUACGAUCGCAAGAUUAAAACUCUAAAGUGAAUUGAC